GGAGAGCGAGGGGGACGGAACUGCUCUUUUUCACAUGGGAGGGGACAAAACCAAAAAGACUUGGGGGUAUAUCACGACUUCCUCCCGCGGCGCCGACCUCCGCAUCCUCCAGCCCAGAGCCUCUGCAGAAAUUCAAAUGCAAAGGCUGUCGCGCUCUUAACGUCUAUAAAAUUUGUCCGGAAAGUGUCCACCAGAGGCACAAUCCACCUGCGCCGUGGGGUGGGGGUGGGAGUGGGAGAAGAUCCGGGAUGCUGCACCCCUCGCAGGGAACAGGAUCUUUUACGGAGGUCUGCCCAGCCUUUCUGCUUCUCGAGGCUUAGGAUCACUGCCGCUUACCGCAGGACAAGGAGCUGCAGGCUUUUGCCAAGCAGGUGGCUGCGGACGCGAGGCGAGGAGAGAGGCAGGGGGUGGACUUCCCACGUCGCUGGGGUCCAGCCAUAUGCAGGGAAUGCAAAAGGACUGGGGUGGGAGUGACACCCAAGAGAGAGGAGGUGGAGUGGGUGAACCCGAGCGACUGGAGGGUUGGUUGGCUCCCUCACCCCGCCCCCCCCCCGCCCCCCCAAUGUGAGCAACGAGUCCUGUGCUCUGAGCAAAGGUGCCUUAAACACUUGACUCUCUGGACAAGUUUGCCCAGGGGCAGCAAGGCGGCAGCAGAGCCCCUAGUCCCAGAGAAGGAAGGGCAGGGGAAGCUGGAGUUGCCGAGGAGACAAGAAGCGGAGUGGACUCGAAGAUCUGGCCAUGGACCUCAAACUUUGCCUUGGGAAAAGGAGAAGUAACAAUGUGUUGUGAUACAAAAUUCUUGGAUUCUCAGAUUGUAGUUCAAGUCUGUUCAAUAAAAGGAUUGAACACUU
Long non-coding RNA from Hemicordylus capensis (graceful crag lizard), 851 nucleotides. RefSeq lists it as uncharacterized. The transcript has 2 exons. NCBI's taxonomy places the organism in Eukaryota, Metazoa, Chordata, Lepidosauria, Squamata, Cordylidae. The record is from RefSeq and is a predicted model, not a curated record.